AAAAGUGUUGAUUGGCUGGAUAGGAUUCGUGCUGGAUAAGAAUGCCAAAUCCUUUGUAAAAUUUGUGCACUAGAUUGAUUUUAGAGGGGACAGGGAAAGUGGGAAAUAAAGAGGUUAGAAUUCUUCCAUUAACUGAUUUCAGUGUGUGUGGCUUGCUCAUUGAAAUUGCAUAAUAACUGUGUAAUGGGAUUGUAGAUGUUUGAUAUAUUGGGUGGGAUUUGUUAUCCUUAGUUAAUGGAAGAAUUCUAACCUCUUUAUUUCCCACUUUCCCUGUCCCCUCUAAAAU
RNAcentral lists this unclassified non-coding RNA (286 nucleotides) under Hevea brasiliensis (rubber tree). Lineage: Eukaryota; Viridiplantae; Streptophyta; Magnoliopsida; Malpighiales; Euphorbiaceae. The record is from RNAcentral.